GACGAACGCUGGCGGCGUGCUUAACACAUGCAAGUCGAACGCUGAAGCUUGGUGCUUGCACUGGGUGGAUGAGUGGCGAACGGGUGAGUAAUACGUGAGUAACCUGCCCUUGACUCCGGGAUAAGCCUGGGAAACUGGGUCUAAUACUGGAUACGACAUGUCACCGCAUGGUGGUGUGUGGAAAGGGUUUUACUGGUUUUGGAUGGGCUCACGGCCUAUCAGCUUGUUGGUGGGGUAAUGGCUCACCAAGGCGACGACGGGUAGCCGGCCUGAGAGGGUGACCGGCCACACUGGGACUGAGACACGGCCCAGACUCCUACGGGAGGCAGCAGUGGGGAAUAUUGCACAAUGGGCGGAAGCCUGAUGCAGCGACGCCGCGUGAGGGAUGACGGCCUUCGGGUUGUAAACCUCUUUCAGCACGGAAGAAGCGAAAGUGACGGUACGUGCAGAAGAAGCGCCGGCUAACUACGUG
RNAcentral lists this ribosomal RNA (472 nucleotides) under uncultured bacterium. RNAcentral describes it as "partial 16S ribosomal RNA". It matches the Rfam family "Bacterial small subunit ribosomal RNA", at positions 28 to 507 of the family's 1533-position model. The record is from RNAcentral.